This 85-nucleotide transfer RNA is filed under the name Leptolyngbya sp. Cla-17. RNAcentral describes it as "tRNA-Tyr". It matches the Rfam family "tRNA". From Rfam's summary of the family: Transfer RNA (tRNA) molecules are approximately 80 nucleotides in length. Lineage: Bacteria; Bacillati; Cyanobacteriota; Cyanophyceae; Leptolyngbyales; Leptolyngbyaceae. The record is from RNAcentral.
AGGUCGGCUCGCCUAUCAGCGGGGGCAACUGUCUGUAAAACAGCCGCUUCUUGCGUUGCAGGUGCGACUCCUGCCCGACCUACCA